Molecule: ribosomal RNA, 253 nt
Filed under: uncultured bacterium
Lineage: Bacteria
Description: partial 16S ribosomal RNA
Rfam family: Bacterial small subunit ribosomal RNA
Source: RNAcentral
UACGAAGGGGGCUAGCGUUGUUCGGAUUUACUGGGCGUAAAGCGCACGUAGGCGGCUCUCUAAGUCGGAGGUGAAAUCCCAAGGCUCAACCUUGGAACUGCCUUUGAUACUGGGGAUCUUGAGUCCGGGAGAGGUGAGUGGAACUGCGAGUGUAGAGGUGAAAUUCGUAGAUAUUCGCAAGAACACCAGUGGCGAAGGCGGCUUACUGGUCCGGAUCUGACGCUGAGGCGCGAAAGCGUGGGGAGCAAACAGG